AUUGAACGCUGGCGGCAUGCCUUACACAUGCAAGUCGAACGGCAGCGGGGGAGAAGCUUGCUUUUCCUGCCGGCGAGUGGCGAACGGGUGAGUAAUACAUCGGAACGUGCCCUGUAGUGGGGGAUAACUAGUCGAAAGAUUAGCUAAUACCGCAUACGACCUGAGGGUGAAAGUGGGGGACCGCAAGGCCUCAUGCUAUAGGAGCGGCCGAUGUCUGAUUAGCUAGUUGGUGGGGUAAAGGCCUACCAAGGCGACGAUCAGUAGGUGGUCUGAGAGGCCGAUCAGCCACACUGAGACUGGGACACGGCCCAGACUCCUACGGGAGUCAGCAGUGGGGAAUUUUGGACAAUGGGCGAAAGCCUGAUCCAGCAAUGCCGCGUGUGUGAAGAAGGCCUUCGGGUUGUAAAGCACUUUUGUCCGGAAAGAAAUGGCUCUGGUUAAUACCUGGGGUCGAUGACGGUACCGGAAGAAUAAGGACCGGCUAACUACGUGCCAGCAGCCGCGGUAA
This 508-nucleotide ribosomal RNA is filed under the name uncultured bacterium. Its description in RNAcentral is "partial 16S ribosomal RNA". It matches the Rfam family "Bacterial small subunit ribosomal RNA", at positions 30 to 523 of the family's 1533-position model. The record is from RNAcentral.